RNAcentral lists this ribosomal RNA (502 nucleotides) under uncultured bacterium. Its description in RNAcentral is "partial 16S ribosomal RNA". It matches the Rfam family "Bacterial small subunit ribosomal RNA", at positions 30 to 523 of the family's 1533-position model. The record is from RNAcentral.
AUUGAACGCUGGCGGCAGGCUUAACACAUGCAAGUCGAGCGGGGUGAUGGUGCUUGCACUAUCACUUAGCGACGGACGGGUGAGUAAUGCUUAGGAAUCUGCCUAUUAGUGGGGGACAACAUCUCGAAAGGGAUGCUAAUACCGCAUACGUCCUACGGGAGAAAGCAGGGGAUCACUUGUGACCUUGCGCUAAUAGAUGAGCCUAAGUCGGAUUAGCUAGUUGGUGGGGUAAAGGCCUACCAAGGGGACGAUCUGUAGCCGGUCUGAGAGGAUGAUCCGCCACACUAGGACUUAGACACGGCCCAGACUCCUACGGGAGGCAGCAGUGGGGAAUAUUGGACAGUGGGGGGAACCUUGAUCCAGCCAUGCCGCGUGUGUGAAGAAGGCCUUAUGGUUGUAAGCACUUUAAGCGAGGAGGAGGCUCUUUUGGUUAAUACCCAAGAUGAGUGGACGUUACUCGCAGAAUAAGCACCGGCUAACUCUGUGCCAGCAGCCGCAGUAA